GACGAACGCUGGCGGCGUGCCUGAUACAUGCAAGUAGAACGCUGAAGGAGGAGCUUGCUUCUCUGGAUGAGUUGCGAACGGGUGAGUAACGCGUAGGUAACCUGCCUGGUAGCGGGGGAUAACUAUUGGAAACGAUAGCUAAUACCGCAUAAUAGUAGAUGUUGCAUGACAUUUGCUUAAAAGGUGCAAUUGCAUCACUACCAGAUGGACCUGCGUUGUAUUAGCUAGUUGGUGAGGUAACGGCUCACCAAGGCAACGAUACAUAGCCGACCUGAGAGGGUGAUCGGCCACACUGGGACUGAGACACGGCCCAGACUCCUACGGGAGGCAGCAGUAGGGAAUCUUCGGCAAUGGACGGAAGUCUGACCGAGCAACGCCGCGUGAGUGAAGAAGGUUUUCGGAUCGUAAAGCUCUGUUGUAAGAGAAGAACGAGUGUGAGAGUGGAAAGUUCACACUGUGACGGUAUCUUACCAGAAAGGGACGGCUAACUACGU
This 494-nucleotide ribosomal RNA is filed under the name uncultured bacterium. RNAcentral's name for it is "partial 16S ribosomal RNA". It matches the Rfam family "Bacterial small subunit ribosomal RNA", at positions 28 to 506 of the family's 1533-position model. The record is from RNAcentral.